RNAcentral lists this ribosomal RNA (1966 nucleotides) under human gut metagenome. RNAcentral's name for it is "bacterial LSU rRNA". It matches the Rfam family "Bacterial large subunit ribosomal RNA", at positions 1 to 1977 of the family's 2925-position model. The record is from RNAcentral.
GAAAGUAAAGAAGGGCGCAUGGCGGAUGCCUUGGCUCUCGGAGGCGAUGAAGGACGUGAUAAGCUGCGAUAAGCUUUGGGGAGGUGCAAAUGACCUUUGAUCCAGAGAUUUCCGAAUGGGACAACCCAAUAUCUUGAAGAGGUAUUAUCCAACGUUGUUGGAGGCUAACGCAGGGAACUGAAACAUCUUAGUACCUGCAGGAAAAGAAAAUAAACAAUGAUUCCCCCAGUAGUGGCGAGCGAACGGGGAACAGCCCAAACCAUCCAUGUUACGGCAUGGGUGGGGUUGUAGGACUACGCCGUUGCAUGAAGACAUCAGAGAAGAACUUUCUGGAAAGAAAGACCAUAGAGCAUGACAGUUGCGUAUUCGAAUGUUGUCGAAGCAUAGUAGUAUCCUGAGUAGCGCGGAGCACGAGGAAUUCUGCGUGAAUCUGCCGGGACCAUCCGGUAAGGCUAAAUACUCCCGAGAGACCGAUAGCGAACCAGUACCGUGAGGGAAAGGUGAAAAGCACUUCGAACAGAAGAGUGAAAUAGUUCCUGAAACCGUGCGCCUACAAGCGGUCGGAGCUCGUUAAUGAGUGACGGCGUGCCUUUUGCAUAAUGAACCUACGAGUUGCCUUUGCCGGCAAGGUUAAGUGUGACGACACACGUAUCCGAAGCGAAAGCGAGUCUGAACAGGGCGUAUAGUCGGCAGUGGCAGACGCGAAACCAAGUGAUCUACCCUUGGCCAGGUUGAAGGCUGGGUAACACCAGCUGGAGGACCGCACCAAUAAGCGUUGAAAAGCUUCUGGAUGAGCUGAGGGUAGGGGUGAAAGGCUAAUCAAACUUGGAGAUAGCUCGUACUCCCCGAAAUGCAUUUAGGUGCAGCCUUGCGGGUUACUGAUGUGAGGUAGAGCGACUGAUAAGAUGCGAGGGCUUCACCGCCUAUCAAGUCUUGACAAACUCCGAAUGCGCAUCAGUUCUACCGCAGGAGUGAGGGCAUGGGUGCUAAGGUCCGUGCCCGAGAGGAGAAGAAUCCGGACCACCUGCUAAGGUCCCGAAAUGACAGCUAAGUUAAACUAACGAAGUCUGACUGCUAAGACAGCUAGGAUGUUGGCUUGGAAGCAGCCAUUCAUUUAAAGAGUGCGUAACAGCUCACUAGUCGAGGAGUCGGGCGUGGAUAAUAAUCGGGUAUCAAGUUGUCUACCGAAGCAGUGGGAUCAUUUAUAUGAUCGGUAGGGGAGCAUUCCAGUCAGCGUCGAAGGCGUACCGUGAGGUAUUCUGGAGCGUCUGGAAAAGCAAAUGUAGGUAUAAGUAACGAUAAAGGGGGCGGGAAACCCCCUCGCCGAAAGACUAAGGUUUCCUGAUCAACGCUAAUCGGAUCAGGGUCAGUCGGGUCCUAAGGCUCAGCCGAACGGCGAUGCCGAUGGCAGAAACGGUUAAUAUUCCGUUACUACCUUCAGGAGUGACGUGGAGACGCAGUAGUGACAGUGCCGCCAUCUGACGGAAUAGAUGGUUGAAGGGUGUAGGAGUCGAUCAUGGCAGGCAAAUCCACCAUGAGAUCCGAACCUGACAGUAUGCCGCGUCCUUCGGGACAAGGCAAUAGUGCGCGUAAGCAUGCUGCCGAGAAAAUCCGCUAAACUUAAUCCUGGAGGUACCCGUACCGCAAACGGACACACGUAGUCGGGAUGAAUAUUCUAAGGCGCUUGAGUGAUUCACGGUUAAGGAACUAGGCAAACUGACCCUGUAACUUCGGGAUAAAGGGUCCCUACCCUUUUAUGGGAGGGCGCAGAGAAUCGGUCCAGGCAACUGUUUAACAAAAACACAGGGCUGUGCCAAAUCGAAAGAUCCAGUAUACAGCCUGACACCUGCCCGGUGCUGGAAGGUUAAGAGGAGAUGUCAUCGAUGAGAGAAGCGUUGAAUUGAAGCCCCAGUAAACGGCGGCCGUAACUAUAACGGUCCUAAGGUAGCGAAAUUCCUUGUCGGGU